Molecule: ribosomal RNA, 678 nt
Filed under: Triticum aestivum (bread wheat)
Lineage: Eukaryota; Viridiplantae; Streptophyta; Magnoliopsida; Poales; Poaceae
Description: partial small subunit ribosomal RNA
Source: RNAcentral
AUGGAUGUGAAGAGCGCAUUUCUCAAUGGAAAGAUUGAAGAAGAAGUGUAUGUUGCACAACUGCCUGGCUUUGAAGAUCCAAAACAUCCUGACAUGGUAUACAAGCUCAACAAGGCACUGUAUGGCCUCAAACAAGCCCCUCGGGCUUGGUAUGACACACUCAAAUACUUCCUGAAGAGCAAAGGCUUCACACCUGGUUCCCUCAACCCCACUCUCUUCACGAAGACAUAUGAUGGUGAACUAUUUGUGUGCCAAAUAUAUGUGGAUGACAUUAUCUUCGGCUGCACCAAUCAGAAAUACAGUGAAGAAUUUGGAUAUAUGAUGCAAGAGCAAUACCAGAUGUUCAUGAUGGGAGAGCUGAAGUUCUUCCUUGGUCUUCAAAUACGACAGCAACGCAACGACAUCUUUAUAUCUCAAGAGAAGUAUCUCAAAGAUUGCCUGAAGAAGUUCGGUAUGCAAGACUGCAAAGGCUUCACGACGCCAAUGCCAGCCAAACAUCAUCUGGGUCCCGACGACAAUGGUAAAGAGUUCGAUCAAAAGGUAUACCGCUCCAUGAUUGGUUCUUUAGUUUAUCUAUGUGCAUCUAGGCCAGAUAUUAUGCUUAGUGUUUGCAUGUGUGCUCGAUUCCAAGCGGCACCAAAGGAAUCGCAUCACUUAGCUGUGAAGCGAAUUCUUUGA